UAGCUGUUGGCCGCGACCGUUCGAUCGCUGCAGCUCUGUACUAACACUAUAUUUUUGUUUUGCGCUCGAAAUUUAACUGACACGUUUAGGCGCAUUUAUGACUUCCACACUGCAAUAAACGCAGCUGUGACCCUGCUGCCUGCGUAUGUGAACGUGAUAGGAUAUUUACACUGCUGGUGGCUCAAUUCUUUGAGAUGAAAACAAAUUCGAAUGUGACGUGUUUUGUGGGGCAUCUGCUCGCUCGACCUACAUUAAAGGCUAAUCCUAAUCUAGCUUUCCCACAGUGCGGCAAGCAAUUAUAAUGGCACGCUAAUAAGGAUCCUAAGAUCGUAUAUGAUCCUAAGAUCGUAACGAUCCUAAGAUCGGCUAAUGCACCCCAAUCAAAAUAAAAGAGAAGCUUAAUGGUUACGAAAUGUUUUGCGCAUAAUGGAUGAUCUGGUAUCGUAAUCCAACUUUCGCUUUUUACCGCGGCGGCCCAUUGCUUGCGACUGUUUUCAUCAACAGGAAACCUAUGAAAACUUUAGUCUCUUGCGUAUUUCGACGCAUCUCAGCUCAUCCACAUACUGCGUUUCUUUCAUUGUAAAAUCGUAGAAUAAAGAUCUCACAGAUGGAACCGCACAACCACCCGCGAAACCCAGCGGCUGCUGUGGUAGGCGCGACACGGGCGGCGGCUCGGCGGCGGAGUGCCUACCAAGCGAAACUAAAUUCCGACGUCAGCGCCACCGCAUUUUCGUGACGUAGCGCCGUGGUGUAGGUCUAUAGCACCUGCAAGUAGUAAGCAGGUUGCAGUCUCAAGACCAUGUUUGCUUUUCCUUCAGCCUAUUCAUGUGAAAUGCGGGGGCAAGAAAAGUGUAAUAGAUUACCAGAUGAACUCACAGUGUACGCAACAACGGUUCAUGGCUCCUCGCAGGUAAACGGCCAGAACGUGGUGGGGAUCAAGGACCCCGAAAUAACGAAGAUUAUUGAGAGCGCAGGGAAUGUCAUCACGGUCACAGUGAUUCCAUCUUUUGUCUACGAUCACAUGAUCAAACACACAUCUGGGGGCAUGCUUAAGAAGCUGAUGGACCACUCGAUUCCAGACAUGUAAGAAGACCAUCAGCUGGCCUGUACACAACAGUCCACCUUGCGUCCAGACCCGUCCUGCCAGGAUUGGGUGGCAUGCGGCCAUGCUCGGUCUUUAGCCGCAAACUGUCACUGCUUGAACAGUUAUUGAUGAGCCGUUUCUUUGUCAUUCCCCUCUAAUGGCAUGUGUAUCAUAUUGUAUGCUGUUUUUUUUUUACACAUAUAUUUUGCUAAAUAUGUUUUAUGGCUUGGCUGAAACCUCAUGUUUAAAGCUGUCAACUGUGAGCAAAAUGGUGAAGGCUACAUACGUUGCCUGCCAAAGAGCCUAUGAAGAAAGAGAGUGAAUAGGGUGUUAUGAUGCCUUUCUCUUCACACUUGGCGUGUCACAAUUGGCAGUUACCCAUGUAUAAUGUGCGCCUACUUCCUUUUUUUUCUUUUCAUGUAUUGGAAGGCCUACUGUGGCGUUCGAGUUGCGAGACAUUGGAUAUUUAGGUUGUGAGGGUGAUAAGGCAAAAACUGAAUUGGGUGAAAAGGUAAAAACUUAAUUCUCCAGGAGGCUUGUAUGAGCAUUGCUGGGCUAUCUUGUCUUCUUGAAUCGGUCGUCCAAUAGCUAGGCAUGGUGAUCGGAUGUGAUCACAUUUACAAGAGUUCUUUACAAUUGAAAUUAAUUCAUGUGGUGUGGCUGCAAUGAAUCGAGACAUUGUAGUGCAGAUGAAUUGUAGUCUCUGAAUAAAUUGGUGUAUCUUGUGCACAAAGUUUUCAUGCGUGCAUAAAUGUACCAUUGGCUUAACUGAAGGGUAGUAAGCAUUUUGUCACCCUCUGCAGCUGACGAGGGAAGUGGUGCGUAGUAUUUAUUAUCUCUGUUUAUCCAUUUGUUUUACUUGCACAGAUUCAUUGUAUGAAGAUAUGAGUAAGUCUCAGUGCUGCGAUUGUUGACGGUAUGUUUUGCUUUAGCCGCUGUGGCUCUUUGGAAACAGUGCCAUGCCACAAACUUUGCUGGUGGGUUGAUCCGUCUGCUGCCAUUCAUGUUUUGAUGUUCCCGGCAGUGAACGUGCUUGAAGUUAGUCUCUUUAAGAGACAUUUUGUCUCUUAAUGGUAUGUUGCAUUGCUUAUUGAAUCCUUUUUAUUCAAACCUCUGUGUACUCAAGUCGUCAUGGGUGGCACUAAGUCAGUGGUUGUGAUAGCGUCGCCCUUGACAAUUUCAAGAGAGAGCUAUGCAUGUUGUUCCCGUGUAUAGCAUUCAGUUACAUGCUAUGUGCAAUGUAUGGUUUUUAACUAUACUAUAAAGAUACUUAAGUCACAUA
Molecule: long non-coding RNA, 2366 nt
Organism: Dermacentor silvarum
Lineage: Eukaryota; Metazoa; Arthropoda; Arachnida; Ixodida; Ixodidae
Exons: 2
Source: RefSeq, a predicted model, not a curated record